This 290-nucleotide long non-coding RNA is filed under the name Pelobates cultripes (western spadefoot toad). Lineage: Eukaryota; Metazoa; Chordata; Amphibia; Anura; Pelobatidae. The record is from RNAcentral.
CUGACAAGGGACAUACCUGAUUCGUUCCACGUUUGUUCUUGGUUAUACCCAAUACUGAUGCUGUUGGUUAUUGUUUUUUAUUUCUGUUUUUAUUCUCCCUUUUCUUUCCACCAAUACUGCUACUUAAUAUCAUGCUCUUCCCAAACCCGCACAAUACUGGCUCCGUAAGCCUUCAUAAUAAUCAUACGUAUUGAGCCAUUUUUACCCCCCCCCCUCCUAACAACCAGAGUGCGUUACACAGCUCGGAACAUACAGCACACUACCUGCUGCACUCUCAGCUAGCGACUUAG